UUCUCUAACAUCUGGAAGUCCAAAGUGCCUCCUAAGAUUAAGAUAUUUCUUUGGCAAGCCUUCAGAGGCCGCCUCCCUGCGGCUGAUCAGAUUCGCAAGCGCAAUGGUCUGGGUUCAGAGUUCUGUCACCUUUGUGGUGCCUUGGAAAAUACGGACCACAUCUUUUUUCAUUGUGUCUUGGCUAAGUUCGUUUGGAGUUGCGUCAGAUCUUGGCUUCAAGUCUCUUGGAAUCCCUCGUCCUUCUCUGAGCUUAGAACCCUAGCCAAGGUUCUGGUUGGGGUUACUAAGAGGGUGUUCUGGGUUGGCUUGGGUGCCUUAUGUUGGUCUCUUUGGACUACUAGGAACAAAUUUACUAUCGAGCAUAUCUUUCCAUCUAAACCUGCUGACGUUCUUUUCAAAUCUUGUAUCAUCUUGCAGCAGUGGAGAUUAUUGACUAAAGAAGACGAUCGGGAUGCCCUGGACGCGCUCAUCGCCAAAAUUCGGGCUUCGGCAUCCUUCUUCUCCGGGCUGGGUCCUAACGUCUGA
This 525-nucleotide ribosomal RNA is filed under the name Triticum aestivum (bread wheat). Its description in RNAcentral is "partial small subunit ribosomal RNA". Lineage: Eukaryota; Viridiplantae; Streptophyta; Magnoliopsida; Poales; Poaceae. The record is from RNAcentral.